RNAcentral lists this ribosomal RNA (396 nucleotides) under uncultured bacterium. RNAcentral's name for it is "bacterial SSU rRNA". It matches the Rfam family "Bacterial small subunit ribosomal RNA", at positions 30 to 425 of the family's 1533-position model. The record is from RNAcentral.
AUUGAACGCUGGCGGCAGGCCUAACACAUGCAAGUCGAGCGGUAGAGAGGUGCUUGCAUCUCUUGAGAGCGGCGGACGGGUGAGUAAUGCCUAGGAAUCUGCCUAGUGGUGGGGGAUAACGUUCGGAAACGGACGCUAAUACCGCAUACGUCCUACGGGAGAAAGCGGGGGAUCUUCGGACCUCGCGCCAUUAGAUGAGCCUAGGUCGGAUUAGCUAGUUGGUGAGGUAAUGGCUCACCAAGGCGACGAUCCGUAACUGGUCUGAGAGGAUGAUCAGUCACACUGGAACUGAGACACGGUCCAGACUCCUACGGGAGGCAGCAGUGGGGGAAUAUUGGACAAUGGGCGAAGACCUGAUCCAGCCAUGCCGCGUGUGUGAAGAAGGUCUUCGGAUUG